Molecule: long non-coding RNA, 2249 nt
Organism: Columba livia (rock pigeon)
Lineage: Eukaryota; Metazoa; Chordata; Aves; Columbiformes; Columbidae
Exons: 2
Source: RefSeq, a predicted model, not a curated record
CGACGCUAGGCUAAGCCCUGCUAUGGGUGUGUCCGUGGGCAGGAUGCACCGAGGAGCCCAACGCAACCGCUUCGAACCCUCGCGAGCCCGAGCCGGCACCAAAUCACCAUCACCCGGCUUUCCUAAAGCCCAAAAGGAAUUGCCUGGUGGAACGGGUUGGUCCAAUGAACUAUGAUAAUCCAGGAUUUCUUCUUUUUUUUUUCUUAAAAAAUAAGGACAACAAAUCAUAAUAGUGAUUUGUGGCUUGUUUCUACCUAUGGCAUUGGUGAGCAGGACAUUGAGUGUCCACUGGGCCCAACAGUCUGAAAGUAAAAGGUUCCUGUACCCCAUUCCCAACCCUGAGCCCACGAGGACACGGCUCUGCAAGUUAUAAAACUCAGCAAAGGAAGAACAGUGCACCUAAAUUCUUGGACCACAUAGGAAUGAACCAGAAGGCGAGCAGAAAACCAGUGCAGAUGAGUGCAGAGGAUAUCAGAAAAGCAUUUGCCUCCAGACAGAGUGGGAUAUUGAUGUGUAGAGUCAUACAGCAGCACAUACUGGACAGGAAGCAUCCAAAACACGUCGGAAAUUGGGUGAUGGAAAGGGAGAAAGCUGUCAAUAAAAUCAAGCAGCGUGGCAAAGAGAGGAGGAAGGAGAAGGCUAGUAGGGCAGCUAGCACAGAAGCCACUGGUGUUUACCUUGCACUGUGUAUUAAUGACCUUGAGAGUGGUGCCAUUAUCUAGUGAUGCCAAAUUGUAGGAGGCACAGAACAAAUUAAUUACAAAUGGGAGAUUAGGCUUACGGUCUGAUAAGCAGCUCAUGGAGUUCAAUGAAAAGAAGUUUUAAUGAGAUUAAGUGACAAAGCCAUCACUUAGAAGGAAGCAUUAAACAGACUACAGACAAGGAGAAAGAACUGGGGGCGAAGGCAGAGAACUAUUAAAACCAUCUGUGUUAUUAAAAGAAGAGUAAACAAGGCCUGUGCUUCUCAGGGAGAAAUGGAGAUAAUAGUAAAUUGUGCUGGCACUGCUGGUGGAAACUCCUCCCUUGAACGUAUCAUAUGCAGCAUCAGAGUCAGACUCAGGGGGAUAUGGAUGGAGUGCAGCAAGGGUAUCCCAGCACACAUUUGGGACCAAAACAAGAAGCAAAGUACUGGCUGCCCUGAAUUACUGCAAGGAAGAGGCCCAAGGGGAGAUCCAGGAGGUCUGGUGUUACUGGGCGACAGCAACGUGUUGGAGCUGGACUUGAUGGAGAAGACUUUGGCCCACUUCAAAAACACAUGCAGCAGGUUAUUGGAUGGUAGGAACCAAGGACAGAAACAGGCUAGCAGUUAGUAUGUCAGGCCAAGAAGGGCAGCUCUUAAGUAAUAACAGCUACUGCUAAUGAUGAAUAAUUAAAGCAGACCUCUGGCCCUAGUUCCGUUCCUUUAAUGUCAGCAGAAGCAUCGUUUAUAGUAUGCAACAGGAGGAAUCAUGUGCUCGCACAGAUUGGCUGUGCUUCAUCUCCCACCAAACCCACCGCAUCCUUCUCCACGAGCUGGAUUUAGAGCUGAGUUCAAAUAUUAUAGGAAUGGGAGCAGCUUUGAAUCAGACUGAUGAGAGACCUGGGCUGUAAAGGCAGCCCCAUCUUACCAUGCAGCAAAUGUGCAAGGGCAGGGACCGGAGGGAACAUCGCCUGUUCACAUUACCUACCACGAGCCAAAACAUUUACUGAAGAGGAGGAGAGAAACAUCUCAUCUUUCAACAGAGGUGGGCAGACUUCUGUAUGUCUGUUUUAUAAAGCGAAUAUUAGACACGUUUCCUCAUCUUUCCUCUUCGCGAUGGGACAGGUGCAGUUGGAGUACAUGGAGCUGACUGACAUUGCCAGGCAUGCCGUGACUCACCAGCACAGAUUUUACCAAUUCUCCCUUCUCAAAUGGAUCCAAUUAGGGAAAAGGUUUGGGAACAAAGCAGAGCCAAUCUCAGCCCUCUCACUUGUCUCCCCUCCCUCUCACCUUUCCACCCACCCCCUACCCAAAGGGUAACACCAUGGUGAGAGGAUUGAGGGACUGAAGAAAGGAAUGGGCACCAGGCAAACUAGUGCUGACCCUCAGCCAGCACAAAAUGGUGGAAAUUCCUGGUUUCACGCAUUAAACAAUCCUCCUCAGACUGGAAUUCAUCCUGCAAACUCUCCAAGGAGGGGAUCUUACUGUCUGCUCUUCUCUUGGCUACACAAAAGAUCCUGAUCUUUCCUGAGUCUCCAGGCACUACAAAUAAACUAAGAUCUAAAACAAA